GCAAACGGGAUUAGAUACCCUGGUAGUCCACGCCGUAAACGAUGUCGACUUGGAGGUUGUUCCCUUGAGGAGUGGCUUCCGGAGCUAACGCGUUAAGUCGACCGCCUGGGGAGUACGGCCGCAAGGUUAAAACUCAAAUGAAUUGACGGGGGCCCGCACAAGCGGUGGAGCAUGUGGUUUAAUUCGAUGCAACGCGAAGAACCUUACCUACUCUUGACAUCCAGAGAACUUAGCAGAGAUGCUUUGGUGCCUUCGGGAACUCUGAGACAGGUGCUGCAUGGCUGUCGUCAGCUCGUGUUGUGAAAUGUUGGGUUAAGUCCCGCAACGAGCGCAACCCUUAUCCUUUGUUGCCAGCGGUUAGGCCGGGAACUCAAAGGAGACUGCCAGUGAUAAACUGGAGGAAGGUGGGGAUGACGUCAAGUCAUCAUGGCCCUUACGAGUAGGGCUACACACGUGCUACAAUGGCGCAUACAAAGAGAAGCGACCUCGCGAGAGCAAGCGGACCUCAUAAAGUGCGUCGUAGUCCGGAUUGGAGUCUGCAACUCGACUCCAUGAAGUCGGAAUCGCUAGUAAUCGUAGAUCAGAAUGCUACGGUGAAUACGUUCCCGGGCCUUGUACACACCGCCCGUCACACCAUGGGAGUGGGUUGCAAAAGAAGUAGGUAGCUUAACCUUCGGGAGGGCGCUUACCACUUUGUGAUUCAUGACUGGG
RNAcentral lists this ribosomal RNA (711 nucleotides) under uncultured Serratia sp. RNAcentral's name for it is "bacterial SSU rRNA". It matches the Rfam family "Bacterial small subunit ribosomal RNA", at positions 768 to 1479 of the family's 1533-position model. The record is from RNAcentral. Lineage: Bacteria; Pseudomonadati; Pseudomonadota; Gammaproteobacteria; Enterobacterales; Yersiniaceae.